This 409-nucleotide ribosomal RNA is filed under the name uncultured bacterium. RNAcentral describes it as "bacterial SSU rRNA". It matches the Rfam family "Bacterial small subunit ribosomal RNA", at positions 29 to 416 of the family's 1533-position model. The record is from RNAcentral.
AACGAACGUUAGCGGCGCGCCUAACACAUGCAAGUCGCACGAGAAAGGGCUUCGGCCCCAGUAAAGUGGCGCACGGGUGAGUAACACGUGGGUAACCAACCCUAGAGCGGGGGACAACGUUCCGAAAGGAGCGCUAAUACCGCGUAAGACCACGACCCUAUAAAGGGGUUGAGGUAAAAGCAGGCCUCUUCUUGAAAGCUUGCACUCUGGGACGGGCCCGCGCCCCAUCAGCUAGUUGGUAGGGUAAUGGCCUACCCAAGGCUUUAGACGGGUAACCGUAGGUCGUGAGAGGAUGAUCAGUCACACUGGAACUGAGACACGGUCCAGACUCCUACGGGAGGCAGCAGUGGGGAAUCUUGCGCAAUGGGCGAAAGCCUGACGCAGCGACGCCGCGUGAGUGAUGAAGGCC